GUAUGGGCAUGUUGGAUCCCUGCUUGGGCARCGACGACAUCUCCUCCACGUCUCUUCAGUUGUUGGCACGAGUAUGUUCUCUGCCGAUGUUGGUYAUCCUGUAUUGAAUACCWAUCUUAAGGGCAUUAAGUUGGCUAGAUUCGUUUGUUUCCCGCCUUGUGCUGCUGCUCCCCGURGGCAAGCGGUGCGGGGUGGGCCAAAUCGCGCCCGUUGUGUAUCGCACCAUGUUCGCCCUUUGCGGUGUUCGGGUUGACGACCCACGACGUUAUGCUCGAUAUCUCGGGUAYGGUAUAUAAUGUGGGUACGUGGCCAUCGGCCUCCGAGCUCCACAAACAAGCGUUCUACGCUUCAUGCGAACGACAGUCGGUUCGGUGUUUGGUCGUGCUCUCGUAGCUCGAUUCAAGCCGUGCAGACGUCGA
RNAcentral lists this unclassified non-coding RNA (419 nucleotides) under Salvia patens. Its description in RNAcentral is "partial external transcribed spacer". The record is from RNAcentral. Lineage: Eukaryota; Viridiplantae; Streptophyta; Magnoliopsida; Lamiales; Lamiaceae.